RNAcentral lists this ribosomal RNA (1326 nucleotides) under metagenome. RNAcentral describes it as "bacterial LSU rRNA". It matches the Rfam family "Bacterial large subunit ribosomal RNA", at positions 1610 to 2925 of the family's 2925-position model. The record is from RNAcentral.
GGGAAAAGCCACUAAGCUUCAGCUACACACGACCGUACCGCAAACCGACACUGGUGCGCGAGAUGAGUAUUCUAAGGCGCUUGAGAGAACUCUGGAGAAGGAACUCGGCAAAUUGACACCGUAACUUCGGAAGAAGGUGUGCCUUUAGUAGGUGAUCCAUUUACUUGGUGAGCCCAAUGAGGCCGCAGAGAAUCGGUGGCUGCAACUGUUUAAUAAAAACACAGCACUCUGCAAAGACGAAAGUCGACGUAUAGGGUGUGACGCCUGCCCGGUGCUGGAAGAUUAAAUGAUGGGGUGCAAGCUCUUGAUUGAAGUCCCAGUAAACGGCGGCCGUAACAAUAACGGUCCUAAGGUAGCGAAAUUCCUUGUCGGGUAAGUUCCGACCUGCACGAAUGGCGUAAUGAUGGCCACACUGUCUCCUCCAGAGACUCAGCGAAGUUGAAAUGUUUGUGAUGAUGCAAUCUCCCCGCGGAAAGACGGAAAGACCCCAUGAACCUUUACUGUAGCUUUACAUUGGACUUUGAACAGAUCUGUGUAGGAUAGGUGGGAGGCUUUGAAGCGGUGCCGCUAGGUGUCGUGGAGCCAACCUUGAAAUACCACCCUGGUGUGCUCGAGGUUCUAACCUUGGCCCGUUAUCCGGGUUGGGGACAGUGUAUGGUGGGCAGUUUGACUGGGGCGGUCUCCUCCCAAAGUGUAACGGAGGAGUUCGAAGGUACGCUAAAUACGGUCGGAAAUCGUGUUGAUAGUGCAUUGGCAUAAGCGUGCUUGACUGCGAGACUGACAAGUCGAGCAGGUACGAAAGUAGGACAAAGUGAUCCGGUGGUUCUGUAUGGAAGGGCCAUCGCUCAACGGAUAAAAGGUACUCUGGGGAUAACAGGCUGAUACCGCCCAAGAGUUCAUAUCGACGGCGGUGUUUGGCACCUCGAUGUCGGCUCAUCUCAUCCUGGGGCUGUAGCCGGUCCCAAGGGUAUGGCUGUUCGCCAUUUAAAGAGGUACGUGAGCUGGGUUUAAAACGUCGUGAGACAGUUUGGUCCCUAUCUUCCGUGGGCGCUGCAAGAUUGAGAGAGCCUGCUCCUAGUACGAGAGGACCGGAGUGGACGCACCGCUGGUGUAUCGGUUGUCAUGCCAAUGGCAUUGCCGAGUAGCUAAGUGCGGAAGAGAUAACCGCUGAAAGCAUCUAAGCGGGAAACUCGUCUCAAGAUGAGUCUUGCCGGGGCCCUGAGCCCCCUGAAGGGUCGUUCGAGACCAGGACGUUGAUAGGUCGGGUGUGGAAGCGCAGCAAUGCGUUAAGCUAACCGAUACUAAUUGCCCGUGAGGCUUGACCCU